RNAcentral lists this ribosomal RNA (463 nucleotides) under uncultured bacterium. Its description in RNAcentral is "bacterial SSU rRNA". It matches the Rfam family "Bacterial small subunit ribosomal RNA", at positions 28 to 507 of the family's 1533-position model. The record is from RNAcentral.
GACGAACGCUGGCGGCGUGCUUCACACAUGCAAGUCGAACGGAGGGUACCGCAAGGUAUCCUUAGUGGCGGACGGGUGAGUAACGCGUGAAGGACCUGUCUCAUACAGGGGGAUAACACUGUGAAAACAGUGCUAAUACCGCAUAGGACCACGGAGCCGCAUGGCUCUGGGGUGAAAGGAGCAAUCCGGUAUGAGGUGGCUUCGCGUCCCAUUAGAUAGUUGGCGGGGUAACGGCCCACCAAGUCGACGAUGGGUAGCCGGACUGAGAGGUUGGCCGGCCACACUGGAACUGAGAAACGGUCCAGACUCCUACGGGAGGCAGCAGUGGGGAAUAUUGGGCAAUGGGGGAAACCCUGACCCAGCAACGCCGCGUGAGGGAAGAAGGUUUUCGGAUUGUAAACCUCUGUCUUAUGGGAAGAAGGAAGUGACGGUACCAUAAGAGGAAGCCCCGGCUAACUACGUG